Molecule: ribosomal RNA, 374 nt
Filed under: uncultured organism
Description: partial 16S ribosomal RNA
Rfam family: Bacterial small subunit ribosomal RNA
Source: RNAcentral
GUAGGUGGCAAGCGUUGUCCGGAAUUAUUGGGCGUAAAGCGCGCGCAGGUGGUUCUUUAAGUCUGAUGUGAAUGCCCCCGGCUCAACCGGGGAGGGUCAUUGGAAACUGGGGAACUUGAGUGCAGGAGAGGAAAGUGGAAUUCCACGUGUAGCGGUGAAAUGCGUAGAUAUGUGGAGGAACACCAGUGGCGAAGGCGACUUUCUGGCCUGUAACUGACACUGAGGCGCGAAAGCGUGGGGAGCAAACAGGGAUUAGAUACCCUGGUAGUCCACGCCGUAAACGAUGAGUGCUAAGUGUUGGGGGGGUUUCCCGCCCCUCAGUGCUGCAGCUAACGCAUUAAGCACUCCGCCUGGGGAGUACGGUCGCAAGACUG